CAGCAGCCGCGGUAAUACGGAGGGGGCUGGCGUUGUUCGGAAUUACUGGGCGUAAAGCGCACGUAGGCGGCUUGGUAAGUUAGAGGUGAAAGCCUGGAGCUCAACUCCAGAAUUGCCUUUAAGACUGCCGAGCUAGCAGGUGAGAGAGGUAAGUGGAAUUCCGAGUGUAGAGGUGAAAUUCGUAGAUAUUCGGAAGAACACCAGUGGCGAAGGCGGCUUACUGGCUCAUACUGGACGCUGAGGUGCGAAAGCGUGGGGAGCAAACAGGAUUAGAUACCCGCGUAGUCCCUGUCUCUUAUAC
This 301-nucleotide ribosomal RNA is filed under the name uncultured bacterium. RNAcentral describes it as "partial 16S ribosomal RNA". It matches the Rfam family "Bacterial small subunit ribosomal RNA", at positions 509 to 807 of the family's 1533-position model. The record is from RNAcentral.